GAGGUUAAGCGACUAAGCGUACACGGUGGAUGCCCUGGCAGUCAGAGGCGAUGAAGGACGUGCUAAUCUGCGAUAAGCGCCGGUAAGGUGAUAUGAACCGUUAUAACCGGCGAUUUCCGAAUGGGGAAACCCAGUGUGACUCGUCACACUAUCAUUAACUGAAUCCAUAGGUUAAUGAGGCGAACCGGGGGAACUGAAACAUCUAAGUACCCCGAGGAAAAGAAAUCAACCGAGAUUCCCCCAGUAGCGGCGAGCGAACGGGGAGGAGCCCAGAGCCUGAAUCAGCAUGUGUGUUAGUGGAAGCGUCUGGAAAGGCGCGCGAUACAGGGUGACAGCCCCGUACACAAAAGCGCAUGUGCUGUGAGCUCGAUGAGUAGGGCGGGACACGUGGUAUCCUGUCUGAAUAUGGGGGGACCAUCCUCCAAGGCUAAAUACUCCUGACUGACCGAUAGUGAACCAGUACCGUGAGGGAAAGGCGAAAAGAACCCCGGCGAGGGGAGUGAAAAAGAACCUGAAACCGUGU
RNAcentral lists this ribosomal RNA (523 nucleotides) under Salmonella enterica subsp. enterica serovar Javiana. RNAcentral's name for it is "partial 23S ribosomal RNA". It matches the Rfam family "Bacterial large subunit ribosomal RNA", at positions 1 to 561 of the family's 2925-position model. The record is from RNAcentral. Lineage: Bacteria; Pseudomonadati; Pseudomonadota; Gammaproteobacteria; Enterobacterales; Enterobacteriaceae.